Molecule: ribosomal RNA, 497 nt
Filed under: uncultured bacterium
Lineage: Bacteria
Description: partial 16S ribosomal RNA
Rfam family: Bacterial small subunit ribosomal RNA
Source: RNAcentral
GAUGAACGCUGGCGGCGUGCCUAAUACAUGCAAGUCGAGCGAACAGACGAGGAGCUUGCUCCUCUGACGUUAGCGGCGGACGGGUGAGUAACACGUGGAUAACCUACCUAUAAGACUGGGAUAACUUCGGGAAACCGGAUCUAAUACCGGAUAAUAUAUUGAACCGCAUGGUUCAAUAGUGAAAGACGGUUUUGCUGUCACUUAUAGAUGGAUCCGCGCCGCAUUAGCUAGUUGGUAAGGUAACGGCUUACCAAGGCAACGAUGCGUAGCCGACCUGAGAGGAUGAUCGGCCACACUGGAACUGAGACACGGUCCAGACUCCUACGGGAGGCAGCAGUAGGGAAUCUUCCGCAAAGGGCGAAAGCUUGACGGAGCAACGCCGCGUGAGUGAUGAAGGUCUUCGGAUCGUAAAACUCUGUUAUUAGGGAAGAACAAAUGUGUAAGUAACUAUGCACGUCUUGACGGUACCUAAUCAGAAAGCCACGGCUAACUACGUG